ACCUCAGAAAGCCAAUCUCAGUUCGGAUUGUAGGCUGCAACUCGCCUACAUGAAGUUGGAAUCGCUAGUAAUCGCGAAUCAGAAUGUCGCGGUGAAUACGUUCCCGGGUCUUGUACACACCGCCCGUCACACCACGAGAGUUUACAACACCCGAAGUCAGUGGCCUAACCGCAAGGAGGGAGCUGCCUAAGGUGGGGUAGAUGAUUGGGGUGAAGUCGUAACAAGGUAGC
This 230-nucleotide ribosomal RNA is filed under the name uncultured bacterium. RNAcentral's name for it is "partial 16S ribosomal RNA". It matches the Rfam family "Bacterial small subunit ribosomal RNA", at positions 1271 to 1500 of the family's 1533-position model. The record is from RNAcentral.